AUUUUCCUUUUGUUCUGGCCUGUGUAGACACUGUGCUGUAAAAUCUGCCAUGGCUAGCAGGGGUUAAGGGGAACACAAGAAGAAUUACAGAUCCCAUAUGAAAUUAUGUGAAAUAAAUUUUAAAUUGCAUUGCAAUAAUAUUCUUCAAGUAUCAUCUUAGAGAAACAUGCAUCAAAUUCUCACAGAAACCUUUGGAGAAUACUUUAGGAAGGAUUUUAAUUGCUGCAGACAGCAACAGAUAUGAAAACUAUCAGAAAGCUAAUGAUUCCUCAAUCUACCAUCUUAGAUCAGAAGUUGAAGAAGAAUCAGGUAACAUAAUCAAAUUGCAGAAAGAUCUUAGGGAAGCAAGGUGUGAUUCCCUGUGCUGUCAUCUGAAUAAAUAGUAAGCCAAGAAUACUCCUGAAGUUGUAACAGAGGAAUUUAUAUUGAUGUAAAUAAUUGAAGCAUCAGUUUUAGGUUUUGUCAAGAAAUGCUAGGUUUAAUAUUGAUAAAUGUAAAUAAUAGCCAUAAUGUUCAUAAAUCUGGUCAAUUAUUUUCCAGUAGAAUGAUUUUUAAUGGAAUAGAAUAAUUUCAAGGAAAUGCAAUAUCUCGUGAACAUUUUGAAGGGGAAAUUAUAGAAGUAUUAUGUUCUGAAUUAAUUAUAUUUGUGUUGGUAAGAGAUACAUAGGCAACAUUUCUUUCAGAAACUGUAAAAAAAUACAAUCUGAAUGGUAACAGGUAUUUUAGAAUUUCUCCUCAGGCAGACUUCUAUAUGAGACUCGUGUCUCCUAGCACUCAGGCUGUACGAUUUAUAUAUACAUAAUUAGAAAAAAAUCUGUGGAGAUCAAUUAAAUUAAAAUGCAUAAGUAGAAUCUGAAGGGAAUUUGAUAAAGUUUUAGGGAAUAAGUUUUUUGAUACCAUUUUAGCUCCUUUACAAGCAAGGAGAUAAAAUAAUUCCCGUCUUUGGUUCAGCUCUGGCGUUUCACAGCUCAGCUCUGGGAAGUUCUGAGUGUGGCACAUGCAUUGACAAAUGUCCAGUGCUCUGACGUGUUAAAAACCUUAACAACUUUAUAUUUGUAUACCCAACUGCUGAAUCUGGGUAAAAAAGGGAUCAGUGAGCUGUAGUUUUCUAUGGCUGGGUCAUGCUCAGUCCUCAUACAAUUAAGUAGCGGAAUUAUUAUUUGCAUUUAUUUAAAAAUAAGUCAAAGAACACAAAAUAGUUACAGACGUACUGCACCAAUAAUGUACUCUGUGUAUUGGUGAAAAACUGUUCUGCUAUUAACACUUGAGUCUAAACUUUCAGUUAACCCUUUUAAGCUUAGGAAACUCCUGAGGUAAUCUGCAUUCUGGACAAACUACAAAAUACUUCUCUGAAUUGCUUCCAUUUUGUG
This 1370-nucleotide long non-coding RNA is filed under the name Taeniopygia guttata (zebra finch). RNAcentral's name for it is "lncRNA (ENSTGUG00000020802.1)". Lineage: Eukaryota; Metazoa; Chordata; Aves; Passeriformes; Estrildidae. The record is from RNAcentral.